Molecule: ribosomal RNA, 448 nt
Filed under: uncultured bacterium
Lineage: Bacteria
Description: partial 16S ribosomal RNA
Rfam family: Bacterial small subunit ribosomal RNA
Source: RNAcentral
ACCAGACUCCUACGGGAGGCAGCAGUGGGGGAUAUUGCACAAUGGGGGAAACCCUGAUGCAGCGACGCCGCGUGAGUGAAGAAGUAUUUCGGUAUGUAAAGCUCUAUCAGCAGGGAAGAAAAAAGACGGUACCUGACUAAGAAGCCCCGGCUAACUACGUGCCAGCAGCCGCGGUAAUACGUAGGGGGCAAGCGUUAUCCGGAUUUACUGGGUGUAAAGGGGGCGCAGACGGCAGCGCAAGCCAGGAGUGAAAGCCCGGGGCCCAACCCCGGGACUGCUCUUGGAACUGCGCGGCUGGAGUGCAGGAGGGGCAGGCGGAAUUCCUGGUGUAGCGGUGAAAUGCGUAGAUAUCAGGAGGAACACCGGUGGCGAAGGCGGCCUGCUGGACUGCGACUGACGUUGAGGCCCGAAAGCGUGGGGAGCAAACAGGAUUAGAUACCCCCGUAUG